This 322-nucleotide ribosomal RNA is filed under the name uncultured eukaryote. Its description in RNAcentral is "partial 18S ribosomal RNA". It matches the Rfam family "Eukaryotic small subunit ribosomal RNA", at positions 1470 to 1796 of the family's 1831-position model. The record is from RNAcentral.
CCCUUAGAUGUCCUGGGCCGCACGCGCGCUACAAUGACGUAUUCAACAAGUCCUAUCCUGGCCCUGAAAGGCGUCUCGGGUAAUCUUCAUAGUAUACGUCGUGUUAGGGAUCGAUCUUUGGAAUUAUAGAUCUUGAACGAGGAAUUCCUAGUAUGUGCAAGUCAUCAGCUUGUACAGAUUACGUCCCUGCCCUUUGUACACACCGCCCGUCGCUCCUACCGAUUUCGAGUGGUCCGGUGAACCUUCUGGACUGCGCUGCCCUCGAGGUACGCGCGGAAAGUUAAGUAAACCUUAUCACUUAGAGGAAGGAGAAGUCGUAACA